This 7389-nucleotide long non-coding RNA is filed under the name Ananas comosus (pineapple). RNAcentral's name for it is "long non-coding RNA (ACOM_LNC039361)". The record is from RNAcentral. Lineage: Eukaryota; Viridiplantae; Streptophyta; Magnoliopsida; Poales; Bromeliaceae.
UUGAAUCACUGCCAGGCGAGGAGAACCACACAUACCUGCAGUUAUGAUUCGCUUGCCAUCUCUUUUACCACAAUUUCCACCGCUCCAUGUGCGGCCACAUCACUAGGGAUUUCGGAAUCCAUUUCAUAUAGCUCAAGGGUUGGUUUCAAACCCUAUAGCAUUGACCUAUCUAGGUCCAACGUCCUUUUCACCCUAGGCCCAACUGACUCUAGGUUCAACGUCUCUAUCACAUAACCUAGAUUUACUUAACUCUAGGUUCAAUCCAUAACCUAUGUUCUUUAACACUAGGUUAGAUGCCACUCGACCUAUGUUCAAUAACACUAGGUUCAUUGUCAUUCAUGUCCAACCUAUGUUUUAUACACUAGGUUCAUUGUCAUUCAUGUUCAACCUAUGUUUUAUACACUAGGUUCAUUGUCAUUCAUGUCCAACCUAUGUUUUAUACACUAGGUUAAGUGCCACUCGAUCUAUUUGACAUCCUAAUUGUCCAUGUCGAGUCCCAUAACUAUCAACAUUUUAUCUAGCAUGCAUUCUUUGAUGCCAACAUGCAUAAUCUUUCUCACAUGAUCUACAACAUGUUAAUAUGCAAGUAAUCUAGCAUAUUCUCAUCAUGUCAUCAUACAUGUAUUAACAAGCAUAUUUACAUUAUGUCAUUAACAUGCAUUCUUUACCAUAUGCUCGCAUGCAUUAUUUAGCAUUUCUAUAAUAUGUUCAUCAUGCAUUCUAUGGUAGUCGUAGCAUAGCAAUUAACAUGCAUUCGCCUAGCAUUUAACUCUUGCAUUCAUCUACCAUUUAUAUGCAUCAAUAUGAAUUUACAUUUCUCUUAGACAUAAAGGGCGACCUAGUCGCUUCGGUAGGCACAACCCACCUUAACACGCGUUCCGAUUGCUUGUCGACACUUGCAAUCGGCCUCCCGCGGCACCCGUAUCCGGCACGGCCCGAUAUCGCAACUGCGCCUCAACCGUGCUCCGCUUCGCAGCCCCGAAAAUUAUAGGUCCUCGGUUACGUGCCACGGUGCUUCAAAUCCAUUUCCAUGAUUUUACGACGUCGCCUCGGCCCUCCCGGCGGACCCGAAGCCUAAACGUCCGUUUCUUUAAUAACUUUGUAACGGCUCGUCGGAUUGCCGAUCCGUCUUCGCCAACGCGUUUCGUUACCUAGCAAUUAGGUUUAUGAAGGGUCAAAUGAGAUCAAACCCUCAUAUUUUGAAAGUUUGCAUUUUUGAGCCCUAAUAUGAAUUAACCUCUAAAUAAUCCAAAUCAAAUGGAGCAAACAUGUUUAGAAUGCUCAUUAGAGGCUAUUAGAACACUUAAAACUAAGGAUUAAGCCAAAUCCUAAAAGCUUACCUCAAUGUGAACGCCGCGACGACAACACACCGCUCCAACGGCCGCACGAAAGCCCGAUCCGUCGCCUCCAACGCGUUCGCAAGCAUCUUCUCCACCAACCCUCCAAUUUUUAGAGAGAGAUUUAGAGAGAUGAGAGAGAUAUCUAGAGAGAGAUAGAGGUGUUUCUCUCUCUACUCCAUGCGUGCGUGGGUGUGUGCUCGGGCUGAAGGAGAAAGAAGAAGAAGCAUCAGCUUCUUUAUAAUGCACCCCAAGGCACUAUUCACUCCAGGCAGCUUGAAAUCUGAUAAAUUUCGUUGGAGCCCUUCCGGAUGUCCGUUUGAGCUCAAAUUUGACAGGCAUGUUCGGUUUCACUUAAUAAGUCCAAAGAAAUUUUAAUAUUUCAGUUUCAACCCCGUUUGGUCACUGAAAACUGUACCGAACUGCAAUCUUUAUCAGAUAGCUUUCGGAUUCGAUUUCUCUCUCUACGGGUGUCAGAAAAAUAUGAAACUUUAAAUCUAGUCUCAUAAAAAUAUUUCUGACAUCUCCAUCAAUUUUCAUAAUUUUCUGACACUGUGCAUUUUCUGCUAAUUUAUCUGUCCCGUUUCUUACAGAAAAUUCUAAAUCAUCUGUUUUCGCUCUGAUUUCAGCACAGGUCAUUCCCAACUUAUAUUUCACUUCUCUAAAUCCAAUAAAAGUAGUAUCUCAUACUAUUUUUAUUUAUUUUCACUUUUAUAUUUAAAAUCCGGUAUGUUACGUUCUACCGCAACCUCACCGGAACCAUUUAAAUAUACACCGUAACUUCAUAGUUUUAGAAGUCCGGUACCUUACAUCCUCCCCUCCUUAAUAAGAGUUUCGUCCCCGAAACUCACUCACUUCAACCCAAUUCACACUCUAAUUCUCUUUAUUGGGUGACAAGGGUGUACAAUGCACUUUUGCAUCUCGGAGUGGCCUUUCGCUCAUUGGAACUAUCCAAAGGUCCACUACGGAGGACGUGAGACUAGAUUCACUCACAUUUGCUGUGUGUAAGUCCAAAAGUGCAUUACGGGUCUCCGUCAUUCUUGGUGGUAGCGCAAGUUGAAACUCAACGACACCACGCGCUUGAACACCAUUCACCACUUGACAUGCAAGAACUUUUCUUUGCAUUUACCUUCCCCUCAGGGUAUUACAAUUCGAUUACCAGCCUUGCUUGAAGGCAAUAUCAUUGUGCAUCGCUUCAUCGUGAGUGUUCAAAUCAUAUUUGAAUCUUUGCUCUAUCAAGAGAUGGCCCACUCCGGUGCAUCUCGAUUUUGAAUCCAUAAUAAAGCAUUAUCCUCAAGUUCCUCAAUUCCUCCAACAUAACCCAGCCUACCUGGGCAAAUGCCGCACUCGGGGACCGGUCUCUCCCUUACCUGGGACCGGUUGCCCCGCGCUGCGCGACCCUCAGCCUCGGGGCAACCGGUCCUUCCCUGUCUGGGACCGGUCCCCGAGAGCAAGCUCACGCAGACCACGUUCGGGAACCGGUCCCUCCCGCCAGGGACCGGUCCCCGAGAGCAAAUCUGCCAAGUGUAGAUUCUUGCACCAUUUGCUCUCGCGGACUCCAUUGCAAUGCACUUUUAGUGCAUUUGACUUCUUCGGCUUUCAUGAAGCACUCCCACUCGACAAUUAGUCGAUCCUGAGCGAAGUCCAACUCUCGUAAUUUCCUUACUCUAACUCCUCCAUAGAGUUAUUGGCUAAACCGAUUACGUCGGCUUUCACAGGUGGACCAACGGUCGCAAACACUACGUAGGUCUAUCGCCUAACGUGUCUCAACUACGCGUAGCAUUUCCCGCUCGCAAGUAGACCCAAUCCUCAAUUUUCGAGCGAAAUUCUCACCUGGGAAUUCGCACCCACUCCAAGCAGGAGCAACCAAGACCCCAAACCACGUCAAGUCCUCGGGUUGGGUCACAACACACUAGGUGUAUCCUCGAUCUCACGAUCCAACACGUGGCAUUCCACGCACCCGGGUCUAAGCUCGGACUACCGUCCUGACCAACUCUCUGCCCUACCUAUAGGUACCGGACCGCUGUCUCUCACAGCUGACUGCACCUGCCCAAUGGGCCCAGACUCCACAGUCCACAAAUGGUCCAGGCACAGGUCGUCCCCAAGCAAUACCCGCCAACGUCGUCCUACACGACAUGCUCUACGAGUACCUAUACUCGAGCGCUCUACGCCUCUAUAGCGUUUCAACUAAGCCAAGCAGUAGGCCACCCGCCUAUGCACACCGACUACACGAGCACUACUCGCCCACCUCAACUCAGGGUGUUAUUAGGCCCAUAUGCUCGUGCUCGAUAACUAUCCGACUUUUUUCUCAAUAGUGAUCCUACUCUCACUGUUCAAUCUACCGAACCAUAUUCGAAAUGCUUUAACUACAAGGGUAUCCUCAAUGUCACGGCGCAACUCUCGCAAUCUGGUUCUCAUUGCCUUGAGAGCCGCUUCACCGUUUCACGUUCACCGCGAGUCUCAUUUCUUGUCCAGGAACCAUCACUAACAGUUUGUUAGUGCUGCAUGGCUCUCUACCUGCUCCAGCAGGCGCUACACUCUCACGAUGCAAGCAUGCUCGGGUGUCUACCUACCCGACCACUCGGUCCCUACUAUGCAAUAUGUAAAUAGUAGCUGCUGACCAUAUGAUAAAUGCAUGCUAUGCAACAGUCCAAUAUUAGGUAGAAGCAUAUACUUGCUUAAUUAACUCGUACCUGCCAUGACAGUGUCAGCAGUAGUAGGUUCCUCCACCUGGGUCGCGUAUCCACGGUCACCCGCUGCCCGCCGCGAGCCCCUCGGUGGCAUCAUCCUCAACGGUCGCGCUUCCGGCCAUGCCGCAGGUAGCACACCUGUAGGCUGUCCUGGGGAGGAAAAGGCCGUCGCCCGUGUCAGGGUCUGAUUAUACCCUUGCGGACACUCGUCCCGUACAUGGCCCGGCUGCCCGCAACGAAGGCAUCUACCAUCGCGCAGCACACACCGCCGAGCCUAGUAGGAACCACCACAAAUCACGCAUCCUGGGGAGGAUCGGCUAGAGAACGACUUCGAGUGGCGCUUGGAACUUGAUUGUCCACCCGAAUCUCUCGAUAGUGGCUUCACCCCUCCCCGCUGACGCUCAGAAGACUCGUGCUUCUCGCGCACGAAAGCAUCACCGUGCUCUGCCAACAACGCUCGAUCCAACACCUCCGUGAAGGUCGUGAGCCUAAGGAUUUGCACCCUCUCGUAAAUCUCCGGUCGAAGUCCAUGUAGGAACCAAUCGGCCAUAUCCUUGUCAUCCCGUACCACAUCCGGGACACAAUUCACGAUACGAGAGAAUUCCCGUUCAUACUCUCCCACUGAGCGGCCUCCUUGCCGCAGCUUCCUGAACCUGUCCUGAAGCUUUCUCUUUUCAGUGUCGGGAAAGUAAGUCGAAAACACCAAUCCCCGAAACUCAUCCCAUGCCAUAGGAGGGAGACUAGGCGAUCGAUUCCGUCGAAUGCUUUUCCACCACACUUUUGCCGACAACUUCAAACAGUGCACGGCUAGGGGCACCUUGUCCCGCUCCAAGGCGUACAGCUCCUCAAAGAGCGUUUCCAUAGAGUCAAUCCACAUCUCCACGAUCCAUGGAUCAACAUUCUCUCCAUCGAAGACAGGCGGAUCAAACUUCUUGAAGGUCAUAAGGGCCGCCAAAGCCCGCUCUUUCUCCGCCUCCACUUCCACAGAAUCAGAGGCCACUACCCCUGAAUCCAUCGCCACUCCCGUCGAUACACGGCACGCUGCUACCGGCGCAGCCGCCGCAAUCUGUCGUGCUAACAACUCAUGGAGCUCCUUGAUCUGCUCCUCCUGUCGCAGCACUACGCCCAUGAGCGUACUCAUCUGCUCGCGAAGCACCGGAUCUCCGCUCGCCUCGGGUUGCUCAGGGAAAACACCUGUCCCAUCCCGAGUUGAUCUAGACGAAGGUCGCCUACGCGGUGCCAUCGUUCCUUGAAAUACGACAACUCAAUUAAUUCUCAACCCUCUGGGUCAAGCACGAGACAAUUUAACAUUAACUCAAAUCGGGCGAAAGUCACGCAAGGGCGUCUAUUCUCAUCACUCAGUUUCAUGUUGUGUGCACCCAACAUGAACACCCUCGGUUGAGAAUAAACCACACCUCGAGUCUACCUCUAAUAUCCGUCAUAGAGGUUUCAACAAAACCCAAUCAAUGAACCUUUCGCCAUAAGUCACAAGUCCUCGUCUCUCACGAGCCUUAUUCUCCUAUGGUUUACGAUCCUAGGUUCUCCUAGGUCCAUCUAAACCAUUGCCCAUUCUCUACUUUAUGCUCUGAUACCACUUUACCUGUCACGCCCCGAGCCCCGCCUAUUUGGCCGAGUUCGGGCACGUCGACAGACCGCCGAACGGACAGAGUUUCCCCUGUACGUCCUAGGCGUCGCAAUCAAUACAAUGAACAUUACAAGGGUUCCAACCAGGAACAGAUAUCAAACAUGAUUGCAUAAGGAAAGUAUCACAACAUAACACAUCCUAUGUUAUUACAUGCAUUCACAAUAAUACAUUUACUUUACAUUCAACUCCCAAAUGCAAUUAAGUUAUUACAUCAUUUGCUUACUACAAAUUGAUACAUUAUUUUCUUUUCAUUACCCAAACCCCUAGGCUAUGCCGACUCGGGGUACCGCUAUCUCUGGUCUCUGGGGUAGGGCGCUAUCUAUGGAGCUACGCCCUUGCAUCGCGCCGCCGCGCCGCUCACGUGCGAACCUGUAACACCCCAAAACAACGUGGGGUGAGAACCAACUCCAUGGUUCCCAGUGGGUACGGCCACCCAAGGGAGGAGCUCGACCAAUAGGUCCAAAGAGGCAGCUGCAGGUUAGUUUAAUAAACAGAUAGAUAGAUAUUUUACUAUGCAAUUAAUAAAACCAUACCUUGCCUCGCAAAUGCAAUAUGAACAUUAUGCAACUAUGCAACUGCAUAAACAACUAGUAGAUAUGUUAAUUCUACUUUUACUUUGCUACUUUAGGUCAUUUCAUUCAAUUGUAAGGUUUCCAUUACCUUAUGUUCUCAACUCAAGUUCAACUUGCUUCUAAGGUCUCUAUUACCUCAGGUUCUUGCCUCGAUCACUAGCUUAUAAGGUUCCCAUUAACCUAAUCAAGCUAACCACCCAACUCGGCCUCAAGUCAAUUAUCCGCGGAUAGUCCGCGCACUGGCUGCACCUCAGCCUGGCUGCCGUCGCAGCCUACCGCAGAUCUGACUUAACCAUCUGACGGCGAACUCAUCGCUCUCACCCAACAACAACUCAAGUCAUGACUUAGCCAUCUGGCGGCGAACUCAUCGCACCUCACCUAACAAUGGUUCAAGUCAUAACUUAGUCAUCUGGCAGCGACCACAUCGCUCUCACCCAACAAUGGUUCAAGUCAACCUAGGCGGCAUCAUCCGAUAAGCUAAUGGGCGAGGAGAACCACACAUACCCAAUUCCAGCUUAUUCUCAUGGCAUCCCGGGCGAGGAGAACCAUACAUACCCGUUGAAUCACUGCCAGGCGAGGAGAACCACACAUACCUGCAGUUAUGAUUCGCUUGCCAUCUCUUUUACCACAAUUUCCACCGCUCCAUGUGCGGCCACAUCACUAGGGAUUCCGGAAUCCAUUUCAUAUAGCUCAAGGGUUGGUUUCAAACCCUAUAGCAUUGACCUAUCUAGGUUCAACGUCCUUUUCACCCUAGGUCCAACUGACUCUAGGUUCAACGUCUCUAUCACAUAACCUAGAUUUACUUAACUCUAGUUUCAAUCCAUAACCUAUGUUCUUUAACACUAGGUUAGAUACCACUCGACCUAUGUUCAAUAACACUAGGUUCAUUGUCAUUCAUGUCCAACCUAUGUUUUAUACACUAGGUUCAUUGUCAUUCAUGUUCAACCUAUGUUUUAUACACUAGGUUGAUUGUCAUUCAUGUCCAACCUAUGUUUUAUACACUAGGUUAAGUGCCACUCGAUCUAUUUGACAUCCUAAUUGUCCAUGUCGAGUCCCAUAACUAUCAACAUUUUAUCUAGCAUGCAUUCUUUGAUGCCAACAUGCAUAAUCUUUCUCACAUGAUCUACAACAUGUUAAUAUGCAAG